UUAAAAUAUUGACAUGUCCUUUUGUUGUUUACCCAGGACCUUUUUCGAAGACUUUCUUAAAGUGUGUUUCCAAUGUGUGCUCUUGGAUUUGUUUUGUUCAUUUAAAACAUUUAAACACAACAAGUGUGAUGCUUUUUGAGGCUUGAGCUGCAAUUAAGGGCUUCACAAAUCCAUGUGAUUUAGUAAAGUGCCAGGUUAGGAGGAAGUCGAGAGCGGGCCAAUUUUUAAGUAAACAACAGCCAGAUUGCAUUUGUGUGUUCACAGGGUCAAGAGUGACAGCUUGAAACCAUGACUGAUGAAGAAGUUUAUUUUCAGAAGUGUCGAGAUGUGAUAAAAGGAACAAAUGUGGAUAGAAGCACACACUCUUAUCUGCACGAAUCAUGUGACUGUACAGGCCUUUGUUUGAGGCGUACUGUCGACUUGGUCAGGCAGUCACACUUCCAUUUGACACUCGUGACACUAUCUCUCUCCUCAGUCUUCCUCUUUGUCACUCAUGCACUCACACACAAAUGUAGUGUCAAUAAUGGCAGGCUACAGUCUGUAUAAUGAUCCUAUCUUCCCAGAUUGUCGGGGUGCUGUCUGCUUUGUCUGUCACACAAAGAGAAGAGAGGCAGUGUGAGUACAAGUGGAUCACCCCCAAGUAAAUGAAGAACAUCAUCAUGGCGUCCUGCAACAGACUUCCUAUGUCAACAGAAGCUUUGAUUAAUGAGGGACAGGCGGCAGUAGCCUUUGUAAGACUUGGACAAAAGCUGCAUUACAUGAAAUCAUGACAUAGAGAAUUGCUGAAGGGCAGGGUUCAUCCACAAUGUACCCACAAUGCACCAGUGAUGGAAGAGAGCAGCGCUGACACCGGAAUCGCACACAAAAGAAGGUCAGCUUUUUUUCUUUUCUUCUUUUUAGCAAUUUUCUUUUGCAAGGAUUUCAACAAUGCCGCCACAAUCAAUUUUUCUUUGCUUUUUUUAUUUUUUUUUAGAAACACUUUUCAGAAAACUGUUCUCUUUCACAGCAGAAAUUGUGAAGACGCUUUGAGGAAAACGCACAAAAGAACAUCUGACGUAAAAAAAAGUGAUUAUAAUAAUAGCCUUUAUGAUUUUCAGAGUAGGUUUGUUCAAACAUGUUUUUUCACAGUUUUUGUAAACUAAGACAGACGCAUGUAUGAUUCUGAAGAGGUCGUCACAGUGAUAUAUAUAUCAUUUGGAUUCAAGGCACAAUGUUAAAAAGCAGUUUCCUUGAAUCCUAACAUUGAAUUUUCUUUUGGUUUAUUUUCCCUCUCAGACAGCAUGAGGGAGUGUUUAUAUGUUGUAUUAUUAAAAAGGGAGAGAGAUGAGACAGUGACUAAUCUAUUUCCUUUCACACACAGCAGCCAGUAAUCACUGUUCUGUGAAGCCGCUCACUCAUCCAUCCAUAAUGUCACCAAGACACAUUAUGUGUGUGUUUCUGUGUGCACGUGUGUGAUUUGUAGGAGCUUUGAAAGCAGGUGUUAAGAAUUUCUGUAUGGGCAUUCGGGUGUGUGCAAAGAGGGUGUGUGCAAAGAGUGUGUGUGUGUGUGUGUGUGUGUGUGUGUGUGUGUGUGUGUGUGUGUGUGUGUGUGUGUGUGUGUGUGUGUGUGUGUGUGUGUGUGUGUGUGUGUGUGUGUGUGUGUGUGUCUGCUUUUUUAACUCUCCAUCCAUGCUGCAGAUUUAAACGCAACACAUUCUCCCUGCAGCCUGUGGCUCGAUCUCACAUUGUCAACUAGCGGAGGUCACACUCUAAUGUGUGAACAUGCCUCCCUCUGUCCGGCCCUGAAAGGCAGAUGAAGUUUUCUGCUUGGACAAGGCCACAAAGACACGUAUCCCGAUUGAAAAGCUUCGCCUGUGCGCCUUGACUCAUUCCCGUCUCCCUGGGGAGUCCUCUCUGACAGACUGCAGGGGAAAUUGACCUUGUUCAGGUGGGCUGGUGACGCAUCACCUCAAGCAGGCGUCUUAUUAGCCGAGCGCUAACAGGCAACGUGUUUUCCCGUGGGGGCUGAAUGCUGCUGAGUCAUACUGUACAAACUGAACUGCACAGGUAUUCAGUCUUCAGCCUGACACACACACACACACACACACACACACACACACACACAAACACACACACAGGCACACACACACUGACACACACAUAGAUGCUGAAUGGCAAAUACACCCACCUACACAUAGGAACUUCUGAUUUGCUUGAUUCCAAUGGGAGUUUUUCGGUGUUGGUGUAUUCGUUUCUGUGUAUGUGUGUGUUUGUGUUUGGUGUGUGUAUGAUGGCAGAGUCAUAAAGAGAAGGAGGAUGAUAAUGUAACUUCUCUAGCCAACCCUCCAACUCUCCUUUUCUCCAUCACCAGCCCAGCUUGAGCCCAGACUCAUUGACAGAUCGUCUCUCGCCCCUUUAAAUCGUCCUCUUUCCCUGAUUACUGUUACUCUGAGUGGGUAACAUGUCACACUGUAAUGGAUCUCUGUGGUGACAGACCACUCACUGUGCUGUAGCCCUGUCACAGAGCAAAACCUCCUCAUUUUGACUCAUUUUAUUUUGCCUUUGAUAUCAACUGUCCAUAUUUCCCUGCAGGUUAAAAAUCAUGUUUAAG
This is a long non-coding RNA of Labrus mixtus (cuckoo wrasse), 2590 nucleotides long. RefSeq lists it as uncharacterized. NCBI's taxonomy places the organism in Eukaryota, Metazoa, Chordata, Actinopteri, Labriformes, Labridae. The record is from RefSeq and is a predicted model, not a curated record. The transcript is spliced from 4 exons.